CCCUUAGAUGUUCUGGGCCGCACGCGCGCUACACUGUUUGAUUCAGCGAGUCUUAACCUUGACCGAAAGGUUUGGGUAAUCUUCUAAAGUCAAACGUGAUGGGGAUCGAUCAUUGCAAUUAUUGAUCGUGAACGAGGAAUUCCUAGUAAAUGCAAGUCAUCAGCUUGCGUUGAUUACGUCCCUACCCUUUGUACACACCGCCCGUCGCUACUACCGAUUGAAUGGUUUAGUGAGAUCUCCGGAUUGGCUCUGUAGGUCCCGCAAGGGAUUUAUUAGUAGCCAAGAAGCUGCUCAAACUUGAUCAUUUAGAGGAAGUAAAAGUCGUAACA
RNAcentral lists this ribosomal RNA (329 nucleotides) under uncultured eukaryote. Its description in RNAcentral is "partial 18S ribosomal RNA". It matches the Rfam family "Eukaryotic small subunit ribosomal RNA", at positions 1470 to 1796 of the family's 1831-position model. The record is from RNAcentral.